RNAcentral lists this transfer RNA (66 nucleotides) under Ochrobactrum quorumnocens. It matches the Rfam family "tRNA". Rfam says of the family: Transfer RNA (tRNA) molecules are approximately 80 nucleotides in length. Lineage: Bacteria; Pseudomonadati; Pseudomonadota; Alphaproteobacteria; Hyphomicrobiales; Brucellaceae. RNAcentral also lists the same sequence under 3 other names. The record is from RNAcentral.
GCGGUAGCUCAGUGGUAGAGCACUCCAUUGGUAAUGGAGAGGUCGAGAGUUCAAUCCUCUCUCGCA